GGCGGACGGGUGAGUAACGCGUGAGUAACCUGCCUUUCAGAGGGGGAUAACGUCCUGAAAAGGACGCUAAUACCGCAUGAUAUAUUUGUGCCGCAUGGUAUGGAUAUCAAAGGAGCAAUCCGCUGGAAGAUGGACUCGCGUCCGAUUAGCUAGUUGGAGGGGUAACGGCCCACCAAGGCGACGAUCGGUAGCCGGACUGAGAGGUUGAACGGCCACAUUGGGACUGAGACACGGCCCAGACUCCUACGGGAGGCAGCAGUGGGGGAUAUUGCGCAAUGGGGGAAACCCUGACGCAGCAACGCCGCGUGAAGGAAGAAGGUUUUCGGAUUGUAAACUUCUUUUCUAAGGGACGAAGAAGUGACGGUACCUUAGGAAUAAGCUCCGGCUAACUACGUGCCAGCAGACGCGGUAAUACGUAGGGAGCAAGCGUUGUCCGGAUUUACUGGGUGUAAAGGGUGCGUAGGCGGCAAUGCAAGUCAGAUGUGAAAUGCACGGGCUCAACCCGUGAGCUGCAUUUGAAACUGUGUUGCUUGAGUGAGGUAGAGGCAGGCGGAAUUCCCGGUGUAGCGGUGAAAUGCGUAGAGAU
This 586-nucleotide ribosomal RNA is filed under the name uncultured Lachnospiraceae bacterium. RNAcentral describes it as "bacterial SSU rRNA". It matches the Rfam family "Bacterial small subunit ribosomal RNA", at positions 97 to 697 of the family's 1533-position model. The record is from RNAcentral. Lineage: Bacteria; Bacillati; Bacillota; Clostridia; Lachnospirales; Lachnospiraceae.